This 725-nucleotide long non-coding RNA is filed under the name Olea europaea subsp. europaea. The record is from RNAcentral. Lineage: Eukaryota; Viridiplantae; Streptophyta; Magnoliopsida; Lamiales; Oleaceae.
AUAGGGUUAAUUUUCUAAAUGAUCAUUGAACUUUUCUCAAAUUUUCCACGGGGACGUAGAACUUAAAAAUUGCCCCCGUAAGUCACUUAACUUUGAAAAUUGGUACCCCAUCCAUCACUUCGUAGAUGGCGCUUGCAAAAUCGGAAUGAUUUGUUGACAUUGAGCAUAAAUCUACAAGUAUAUAUGUGAUUGUUUUUUAUUCACAAAUCGUCCAAUGCAUAUUUGGGGGUUUUUAUGACUAUUUAAUGCAUGAUUUUAUCCAAAUGUAGAGCUUUCUAAAAUCUGAAUUUCACAAACUUUAUGAGCUGGAUUAUUAUAGUUUCUAACUAAUUACAGCACAAUUUAUGUAGAAAUCUAAUUUAUAGUUUUCAAUGCAUGCCACAUAAGCCAUGCCAUACAUUAGACAUGUCAUCAAAUCCUUUAAAUUUUACAAGUAUUGUUUACGCAGUCAUGGAUGGGGUACUAAAUUUCAAAGUUAAGUGACAAACGAUGGUAGUUUUUCUGCUCAGUGACCUUGCGGGAACUUUAAGAAAAGUUUAGUGGCCAUUUAGGGAAUUAACCCUAUUAUAUACAUACCAGCAUGUUAUGUUUGUGCAGUUCGUAUAACUGGGAGCGAUGCAACAACAAUAAGUUCGACCUUAGUAGGUACUAGAAUAGUAGAUUGUGCUGGUGCUGGUGCUGCUAUAGGUAUUAGUCUCAAAUUCUUUAUCUUUUCUCACAUGGAG